This 483-nucleotide ribosomal RNA is filed under the name uncultured bacterium. Its description in RNAcentral is "bacterial SSU rRNA". It matches the Rfam family "Bacterial small subunit ribosomal RNA", at positions 96 to 562 of the family's 1533-position model. The record is from RNAcentral.
CGGCGGAUGGGUGAGUAUCACGUGGGCAACCUGCCUGUAAGAUCGGGAUAACUCGCGGAAACGUGAGCUAAUACCGGAUGAAGUCUUACGCCACCUGGCGUAAGGAUGAAAGAUGGCCUUUGUGCUAUCACUUACAGAUGGGCCCGCGGCGCAUUAGCUAGUUGGUAGGGUAAUGGUCUACCAAGGCGACGAUGCGUAGCCGACCUGAGAGGGUGAUCGGCCACACUGGGACUGAGACACGGCCCAGACUCCUACGGGAGGCAGCAGUAGGGAAUCUUCCGCAAUGGACGAAAGUCUGACGGAGCAACGCCGCGUGAGUGAUGAAGGUCUUCGGAUCGUAAAACUCUGUUGUCAGGGAAGAACAAGUGACGUUCGAAUAGGGCGUGACCUUGACGGUACCUGACCAGAAAGCCCCGGCUAACUACGUGCCAGCAGCCGCGGUAAUACGUAGGGGGCAAGCGUUGUCCGGAAUUAUUGGGCGUA